This 324-nucleotide ribosomal RNA is filed under the name Triticum aestivum (bread wheat). RNAcentral describes it as "partial small subunit ribosomal RNA". The record is from RNAcentral. Lineage: Eukaryota; Viridiplantae; Streptophyta; Magnoliopsida; Poales; Poaceae.
AUGGGAAGUUUUUCACAAGUAAGAAUCUUUCUAAUGGCCAAAAUUGAGCAGCAGCAACAUGACUUACCGCAACACUCAAUUGAUCGAUCACAAACACGGAACAUGAAGAUGCUGACGCGAUGGGGGCAUGAAGUCUGUUGGGCAAUCUCCCCAUGGGAUUUUGGUGUUGAUAGUUGGGUGGUGCUCUCAUCGGAAAUAGGAAAAUGGCAUUGCCUCAUGGGAUUUUGGGUGAGGAAAGAAAAAAUAUCAGCACCCAAUAGGAUUGAAGUUUGGUUAUGGUCAAUAUAUCACAUAGUACAGAUGGUGCUACAUUGGACUCGAUGA